GAACAUGAGGAGGAGGUUCUAGUGCUUGUCCUCUCUGAGAACAUAAGGAAUUUAUCUGAGAACAUAAGGAAUUUAAUGUUGAACAAGCUACAUGAAAAAUUUAUUUAAUAUUGAAGUUAUAGUACAAUACUACAAAUGAAAGCUUAAAAUACAUACCCGAGGACAUGUCCUCUUAUUAUGACCUUCAUUUUUACAUAGUGUGCACUUAGAUGGGGCAUGAUAUCUCUGUAGCUUUUUUGCACCUUCGGGAAUCUCAUUUGGUUCUAAAGUUCUUCUCUUUUUUGGCCUUCCUGGUUAUUUGUGAUAGAGUGGUGGUAGAAUCGGCAUGCCACCAGUUUUAGGCCACAAGUCUUGACCAGACAUUGGGGAAAUGAAGUAACCAUAGGCUCGGUCAUAAGCCUCCCUCUUGUAAUGGUUAUGUACAAAAUCAUAUGGACUCGCAUCCAUCCAACCAAGACAAGUCAUUGCAUGAGAACAUGGAAUAUCACAGAGGUUCCACUUUCUACAUGAGCAAGUUCUAUCCUCCAUAUUAACAUAAAAUUUUCUUCCCUUUAAAGUUAAUAUAUCAAAGAGUAGUUUCAUACUGAUUUUUUCCCUUUAAAUUUUUGGUUAUAUAUUUACCGGAUCAGAUCAGAGCUCUCCAGACCUACCCGGUUCCUUCGCAUGUUUACCUGCGACGAGGAUCAGACGGUUUCUUCGUCUUCCGGCGGUCUCUUGGUGUCGUACCGGUGGCUAUAGCUUCGUCUCAGCGUCGUCAUCACACCUGUGCUCUUGGUUUCCUCAAACGAACUCCAACGGAGGAGAAUCGAAGCGCAGAAGCUUCGGCUGUUAAUGAUGAUUUCCGAUUCCGGCCAUUUCACCGCUUCGCAUGACUGGUGGAGCUUCCUCUCGACGUCAGCAACGUUUCUAUGGUGUUGGUUUGCUGAGAUGAUGAGCCAAGAAAGAGAAUCGAAGGGGAGAAGAUGUUUGGGAUUUCCGGCAAGUUUUCUUGCUUUUCCGGCGACUCCGACGGUGAAUAAGAGCAGCUACUAUGUUCAUGGUUGAUUGUGGUGGUGUUACACGCUUUGGCCAUUUUCCGAUCGCCUGGAUUAUGAUUUGAUCGUUUGUUAUUUCUGGAAUCAGAGAAAUGGAGGAGUUGGGGACUUGGGGUGGAAGUCUAGAAUUGAACUAUCGAAGUAGUGUUGGUGUUCUUUGUUCUUUUGCUGCUGUACUGAGUUCGAGUUAAUACUUGAGGAUAUAGAUGAUUUCAACAAAGACGAUUUGUGAGUUAUGAUACAUGCACAUAGAACAUUUGAAUGUCUAGUAAUUCAAAGUUAUUUUCUAUGUGUUGGUCUAUGGCUGAUGAAUUAAUUCAGAGAUUUCAAGCACAAGAGUUGCAGAGCUUGAUUUUGAAGUUGGGAUGCAGACUUGGAAUUUGAUAAUUGUGGUACAAUUGGUGUAAAGGCACUAUAGUUGAUCUUAUUAUUUGUGUGCUUAUAGUUGUGAAUUAAUUUAGGUGAAGAACUAUUUGAGUUUGAUUUGAGAAAAUAGAAAGAAUUGGGAAUAAGGAUUUUGGGUGUCCUUAGUAAAUUUGAGGACUGUGAUUAGGGUACGAACGAUCAUGUGUGAGAGGAAGAAAUCAGAAGAGCAUGUACAAGUCAAAUUGAUUAUAUUUUAGGAACAAUGUGCGAAGAGGAUGAGAAGAAGAUUUAGAUUGGAAAA
Rosa chinensis is the source of this 1701-nucleotide long non-coding RNA. RefSeq lists it as uncharacterized. The transcript is spliced from 2 exons. The record is from RefSeq and is a predicted model, not a curated record. NCBI's taxonomy places the organism in Eukaryota, Viridiplantae, Streptophyta, Magnoliopsida, Rosales, Rosaceae.